GAUGAACGCUAGCGGCAGGCUUAACACAUGCAAGUCGAGGGGUAUAGGUUUUCGGACCUAGAGACCGGCGCACGGGUGCGUAACGCGUAUGCAAUCUACCUUUUGCAGAGGGAUAGCCCAGAGAAAUUUGGAUUAAUACCUCAUAGUGUAUUGAGUUGGCAUCAACACAAUACUAAAGUUCCAACGGCAAAAGAUGAGCAUGCGUCCCAUUAGCUAGAUGGUAAGGUAACGGCUUACCAUGGCUACGAUGGGUAGGGGUCCUGAGAGGGAGAUCCCCCACACUGGUACUGAGACACGGACCAGACUCCUACGGGAGGCAGCAGUGAGGAAUAUUGGACAAUGGGCGCAAGCCUGAUCCAGCCAUGCCGCGUGCAGGAUGACGGUCCUAUGGAUUGUAAACUGCUUUUACACAGGAAGAAACAACGCUACGUGUAGCGUCUUGACGGUACUGUGAGAAUAAGGAUCGGCUAACUCCGUG
Molecule: ribosomal RNA, 478 nt
Filed under: uncultured organism
Description: bacterial SSU rRNA
Rfam family: Bacterial small subunit ribosomal RNA
Source: RNAcentral